This 322-nucleotide ribosomal RNA is filed under the name uncultured eukaryote. RNAcentral describes it as "partial 18S ribosomal RNA". It matches the Rfam family "Eukaryotic small subunit ribosomal RNA", at positions 1470 to 1796 of the family's 1831-position model. The record is from RNAcentral.
CCCUUAGAUGUUCUGGGCCGCACGCGUGCUACACUGAGUGGAUCAGCGGGUCAGGUUGCGCGAAAGCGUUUCCUAAUCUUUAAAUCCGCUCGUGAUGGGGAUUGACGGUUGCAAUUUUCUGUCAUGAACGAGGAAUACCUUGUAAGCGCGGGUCAUCAUCCCGCGCUGAAUACGUCCCUGCCCUUUGUACACACCGCCCGUCGCUCCUACCGAUUGAGUGGUCCGGUGAGGCUUUGGGAUCUGAUCGGAAAGAGCGUUUCGCUGUUUCUGCUCGGAAAACUCAGUCGAACCUUAUCAUUUAGAGGAAGGAGAAGUCGUAACA